This 248-nucleotide ribosomal RNA is filed under the name uncultured bacterium. RNAcentral's name for it is "partial 16S ribosomal RNA". It matches the Rfam family "Bacterial small subunit ribosomal RNA", at positions 85 to 334 of the family's 1533-position model. The record is from RNAcentral.
UUGCUGGCGACCGGCGCACGGGUGAGUAACACGUAUCCAACCUGCCGAUAACUCGGGGAUAGCCUUUCGAAAGAAGGAUUAAUACCCGAUGGCAUAAUUAGACCGCAUGGUCUUAUUAUUAAAGAAUUUCGGUUAUCGAUGGGGAUGCGUUCCAUUAGGCAGUUGGUGAGGUAACGGCUCACCAAACCUUCGAUGGAUAGGGGUUCUGAGAGGAAGGUCCCCCACAUUGGAACUGAGACACGGUCCAA